CCGCACUCCAUCAUUGUUCAGCCGAUAAUUGCGCGAGUUCGACGUGACACUUCGAUGUUAUCUCCUUUACAAGAAAAAAACCCAUUUCCGCGGCAAAGCAAACGAUGAUAAAAAAAGCGUACAAGAGAUUCGCGACGAUAUUUUCGCGAAGGGAAAAUUUUGAUUACAAUGAGAAAUUUCAAUUACUAUUGAAUAUUUAUUAUAAUUUUUCUUUUAAGUUUUUUUAUCAAUUCCAUCGUUUCCAACAGACAGCAGUCGAACCGGAUCCAAACCAUCUAGUCAAAAUGCACGUUUUUACAACCAGGCCACCGAAUAUGGAUUAAGAUUCAUGCCUCGUAAAUUGAUAGAUGGAUUGUAUCACAUAUAGAUCCCGUGGUCUGUGCCAUAUGGUCUGCAGUUUUACCACAGACUAAGAGUAGAUAGGAGUAGAUUUUCUACUCCUAGUCUGUGGUUUUACCUCGUGAUGUUUGUUGCAUCAAGCCAUUUGAGAUGAAAAGCUGUUAGCUGUGGAUAAAAUUCAUUCCUGAGAAAGUACUGGAUGAUAAAUGUGCAUUCAAAGACUGGAUUUCUAUACCUCAAUGACUGCUCCCAAAAUAUUAUGAUGAAAAAUAACUUUAAAAGUUUUCUUAUUGAACCCACAGUUUGAUUAGUGGAACCUGUUGCAAUUAAUCUUAUUUCCAACAAAGUAGUUCAUUGUCGUAGAUUUGUACUAUACUCAAGAUAUGGUUGAAUUGAUUGCUGACCCUGUU
This is a long non-coding RNA of Daphnia magna, 749 nucleotides long. RefSeq lists it as uncharacterized. The record is from RefSeq and is a predicted model, not a curated record. NCBI's taxonomy places the organism in Eukaryota, Metazoa, Arthropoda, Branchiopoda, Diplostraca, Daphniidae. The transcript is spliced from 2 exons.